This 22-nucleotide non-coding RNA is filed under the name Arabidopsis thaliana (thale cress). The record is from RNAcentral. Lineage: Eukaryota; Viridiplantae; Streptophyta; Magnoliopsida; Brassicales; Brassicaceae.
UCAUGUUUUUAACACGGCAAUG